CUCACAGAUUUCAUGCAGAGAUCUAGAGCUGGCAUUUUAAAUAAAACCUCAGGAGAUGCUGAUGCAGGUGGUCCGUGGCUCACAGGCCCUAGAAACAGCAGCCUGGCCUAAGGCCCGUGAGACAGCAAACUUCGCAGAAGAGAGGGUUUCUUACUUUGUGUUUCCCAAAGUCAUGCCAAGAAUUCAGUAG
This 190-nucleotide long non-coding RNA is filed under the name Chinchilla lanigera (long-tailed chinchilla). RNAcentral's name for it is "lncRNA (ENSCLAG00000029196.1)". Lineage: Eukaryota; Metazoa; Chordata; Mammalia; Rodentia; Chinchillidae. The record is from RNAcentral.